Molecule: ribosomal RNA, 253 nt
Filed under: uncultured bacterium
Lineage: Bacteria
Description: partial 16S ribosomal RNA
Rfam family: Bacterial small subunit ribosomal RNA
Source: RNAcentral
UACGAAGGGGGCUAGCGUUGCUCGGAAUCACUGGGCGUAAAGCGCACGUAGGCGGAUUGUUAAGUCAGAUGUGAAAUCCCUGGGCUCAACCUGGGAACUGCAUUUGAGACUGCAUGGCUAGAGUAUGGAAGAGGGAAGUGGAAUUUCCGGUGUAGCGGUGAAAUGCGUAGAUAUCGGAAGGAACACCAGUGGCGAAAGCGACUUCCUGGUCCAAUACUGACGUUCAUGUGCGAAAGCGUGGGGAGCAAACAGG